GAAAUGCGAUAAGUAAUGUGAAUUGCAGAAUUCAGUGAAUCAUAGAAUCUUUGAACGCACCUUGAGCUCCUUGGUAUUCCUUGGAGCAUGCCUGUUUGAGUAUCAUGAAAUCUUCAAAGUAAAUCUUUUGUUAACUCAAUUGGUUUCUACUUUGGUAUUGGAGGUCUUUGCAGCUUCACACCUGCUCCUCUUUGUUCAUUAGCUGGAUCUCAGUGUUAUGCUUGGUUCCACUCGGCGUGAUAAGUUAUCUAUCGCUGAGGACACUGUAAAAGGUGGCCAAGGUAAAUGCAGAUGAACCGCUUCUAAUAGUCCAUUGACUUGGACAAUACUUUUAUGAUCUGAUCUCAAAUCAGGUAGGACUACCCGCUGAACUUAAGC
This 378-nucleotide unclassified non-coding RNA is filed under the name plant metagenome. Its description in RNAcentral is "partial contains 5.8S ribosomal RNA, internal transcribed spacer 2, and large subunit ribosomal RNA". The stretch from base 1 to 105 matches the Rfam family "5.8S ribosomal RNA", at positions 50 to 154 of the family's 154-position model. The record is from RNAcentral.